GAGUUUGAUCCUGGCUCAGGAUAAACGCUGGCGGCGUGCAUAAAACAUGCAAGUCGAACGGGUAGCUUCGGCUACCAGUGGCGGACGGCUGAGUAACACGUAAGUGACCUACCCUUGAGUGGGGAAUAACUGCUCGAAAGAGUGGCUAAUACCGCAUACGCUCGCCUCUUCGGUUAGACGAGUAAAGCCGCAAGGCGCUCGAGGAUGGGCUUGCGGCCGAUUAGCUAGUUGGCGGGGUAAGGGCCCACCAAGGCGAUGAUCGGUAGCUGGUCUGAGAGGAUGAUCAGCCAGACUGGGACUGCGACACGGCCCAGACUCCUACGGGAGGCAGCAGUUAGGAAUUUUGCGCAAUGGACGAAAGUCUGACGCAGCAACGCCGCGUGGAGGACGAAGGCCCUCGGGUCGUAAACUCCUUUUCCAGGGGAAGAUGGUGACGGUACCCUGGGAAUAAGCCCCGGCUAACUGCGUGCCAGCAGCCGCGGUAAUACGUAGGGGGCGAGCGUUGUCCGGAUUUACUGGGCGUAAAGAGCGCGUAGGCGGCUCAUCUAGUCGUGCGUGAAAUACCUCGGCUCAACCGGGGGGUGUCGUGCGAUACUGGUGGGCUUGAGGCUGGUAGGGGGAAGUGGAAUUCCCGGUGUAGUGGUGGAAUGCGUAGAUAUCGGGAGGAACACCAGUGGCGAAGGCGGCUUCCUGGACCAGUCCUGACGCUGAGGCGCGAAAGCGUGGGGAGCGAACUG
This 737-nucleotide ribosomal RNA is filed under the name uncultured bacterium. RNAcentral's name for it is "bacterial SSU rRNA". It matches the Rfam family "Bacterial small subunit ribosomal RNA", at positions 9 to 775 of the family's 1533-position model. The record is from RNAcentral.